UUCGGUUGAGUGACUCCAUGCACAAACUGAAACGUAACUGAUAUUUGAUUAUUGUGGGUUUGCCUGGUUCCCCUCAAGGUCUGGCUCAUGGUCAACGGGCUUUUAGGGGACUUUCUACCGCCGAUGUGCCCGUGACAGUUGGUAGGAGAAAGAGGAACUUGGGGCUGGGCUCCGAAAGAGGAACCUUCGGGUCAGGUCCCGACACGACCCGGCUGCAUCCGUUUACCGGGCCUUCGGAAAGGAAAAACAAGCGGCGGCCAGACAUGACUUCGAGUCACAGCUCCUCUGGCUUUUGACAAGGACGUGGAGGGCAUGCAGGGUCAGGCAAGGCCUGUGUCCAUAUAACAUAUGAAGAUCUCUGGAAUAUUUGUGAAGCGCAAACUGUACACUUGUUAUAUUUAGCUGAUACAAAACAGCAACUUACACCAAUUUACCCAUUUAUACACCAACCAACUAAUGUCAACGACUGCUUGUCCUAAGCAGGACCACAGUGAACCGGAGCCUGACCCGGCAACACAGGGCACAAGGCCAAAGGAGGA
This 539-nucleotide long non-coding RNA is filed under the name Scleropages formosus (Asian bonytongue). RNAcentral's name for it is "lncRNA (ENSSFOG00015031231.1)". Lineage: Eukaryota; Metazoa; Chordata; Actinopteri; Osteoglossiformes; Osteoglossidae. The record is from RNAcentral.